Molecule: ribosomal RNA, 253 nt
Filed under: uncultured bacterium
Lineage: Bacteria
Description: partial 16S ribosomal RNA
Rfam family: Bacterial small subunit ribosomal RNA
Source: RNAcentral
UACAGAGGGGGCAAGCGUUGUUCGGAAUUACUGGGCGUAAAGGGCGCGUAGGCGGCCUUCUAAGUCGAACGUGAAAUCCCUGGGCUCAACCCAGGAACUGCGUCCGAUACUGGAAGGCUUGAAUCCGGGAGAGGGAUGUGGAAUUCCAGGUGUAGCGGUGAAAUGCGUAGAUAUCGGAAGGAACGUCGAUGGCGAAGGCAGCCACCUGGCAUCAUACUGACGCUGAGGCGCGAAAGCGUGGGGAGCGAACAGG